CAGUAGCCGCGGUAAUACGGAGGGUGCAAGCGUUAAUCGGAAUUACUGGGCGUAAAGCGCACGCAGGUGGUCUGACAAGUCAGAUGUGAAAUCCCCGGGCUUAACCUGGGAACUGCAUUUGAAACUGUCAGGCUGGAGUCUUGUAGAGGGGGGUGGAAUUCCAGGUGUAGCGGUGAAAUGCGUAGAGAUCUGGAGGAAUACCGGUGGCGAAGGCGGCCCCCUGGACAAAGACUGACGCUCAGGUGCGAAAGCGUGGGGAGCAAACAGGAUUAGAUACCCGGGUAGUCCCUGUCUCUUAUAC
RNAcentral lists this ribosomal RNA (301 nucleotides) under uncultured bacterium. Its description in RNAcentral is "partial 16S ribosomal RNA". It matches the Rfam family "Bacterial small subunit ribosomal RNA", at positions 509 to 807 of the family's 1533-position model. The record is from RNAcentral.